CCUACGGGUGGCAGCAGUGGGGAAUAUUGGACAAUGGGGGGAACCCUGAUCCAGCGACGCCGCGUGAGUGAAGAAGUAUUUCGGUAUGUAAAGUUCUGUCGCAGGGGACGAAAAUGACGGUACCCUGCAAGAAAGCUCCGGCUAACUACGUGCCAGCAGCCGCGGUAAUACGUAGGGAGCAAGCGUUGUCCGGAAUUACUGGGUGUAAAGGGAGCGUAGGCGGGAGGAUAAGUUGAAUGUGAAAUCUAUGGGCUCAACCCAUAGCUGCGUUCAAAACUGUUCUUCUUGAGUGAAGUAGAGGCAGGCGGAAUUCCUAGUGUAGCGGUGAAAUGCGUAGAUAUUAGGAGGAACACCAGUGGCGAAGGCGGCCUGCUGGGCUUUUACUGACGCUGAGGCUCGAAAGCGUGGGUAGCAAACAGGAUUAGAUACCCGAGUAGUC
Molecule: ribosomal RNA, 439 nt
Filed under: uncultured bacterium
Lineage: Bacteria
Description: partial 16S ribosomal RNA
Rfam family: Bacterial small subunit ribosomal RNA
Source: RNAcentral